GAUGAACGCUGGCGGCGUGCCUAAUACAUGCAAGUCGAGCGAACAGAUGAGGAGCUUGCUCCUCUUACGUUACCGGCGGACGGGUGAGUAACACGUGGAUAACCUACCUAUAAGACUGGGAUAACUUCGGGAAACCGGAGCUAAUACCGGAUAAUAUAUGUAACCGCAUGGUUCAAUAGUGAAAGACGGUUUUGCUGUCGCUUAUAGAUGGCUCCGCGCCGCAUUAGCUAGUUGGUAAGGUAACGGCUUACCAAGGCAACGAUGCGUAGCCGACCUGAGAGGGUGAUCGGCCACACUGGAACUGAGACACGGUCCAGACUCCUACGGGAGGCAGCAGUAGGGAAGCUUCCGCAAUGGGCGAAAGCCUGACGGAGCAACGCCGCGUGAGUGAUGAAGGUCUUCGGAUCGUAAAACUCUGUUAUUAGGGAAGAACAAAUGUGUAAGUAACUAUGCACGUCUUGACGGUACCUAAUCAGAAAGCCACGGCUAACUACGUG
This 497-nucleotide ribosomal RNA is filed under the name uncultured bacterium. RNAcentral's name for it is "partial 16S ribosomal RNA". It matches the Rfam family "Bacterial small subunit ribosomal RNA", at positions 28 to 507 of the family's 1533-position model. The record is from RNAcentral.